Ipomoea nil (Japanese morning glory) is the source of this 624-nucleotide long non-coding RNA. RefSeq lists it as uncharacterized. The record is from RefSeq and is a predicted model, not a curated record. NCBI's taxonomy places the organism in Eukaryota, Viridiplantae, Streptophyta, Magnoliopsida, Solanales, Convolvulaceae. The transcript has 3 exons.
AGAAAAGAUCUCCAUCCCAGAAGAUCAGAACUUGAAGACUUUAAAAACAAAUCUGUAGAACGAAGGAAAGAUCUCAAGUUUGUGAAGAAGAUCGAAAGUUGAAGACUUGAAAAAGAACAAAUCUGCAGAAAAAAAAAAAAAAAAAAGAUCUCCAGGGCUAGUACAAAAAAAAAAUGACACUUUCUUCUUCCUCCUUUUUUUCCUAAUUUGAUUUAUGUGUUCUAGUGGCUUCUCUUUGGCUUUUUUUAGUUCCAUUUAUUUUUUAGUUUCAUUCAUACGAUUUUUUUACAAGUUAUGUAUAUGAAUAUAUGAUAGAUGGUGAUAUUAUUUCUCAAGGAAUUGAUGGUUUCAAUUCUAGUACACCAAUUCAACGGGUGGAACACGGGUGGAACCUGAUAAUUCUUCACCAGUUGAAUUUUCAACUGACCCUUCUGUUCAACAUGUUGAGCUUGAAACUCCAAUUACUUGCAAUAUGCUUGAAGAUGAAGCAAAAGUUGGUGAUAAACGGUUAAGAUCAAUUGUUUGGCAACACUUUAAAAAGAUUAAUGUUGAGGGAGUUAAUAAAGCAGAAUGCAACUACUGCAAGAAACUUCUUGGAGCACAAAGAAAAAAUGGAACAAAGAA